AGAUGAGAUGAGUAUUCUAAGGCGCGUGAAAGAACUCUGGUUAAGGAACUCUGCAAACUAGCACCGUAAGUUCGCGAUAAGGUGUGCCACAGCGAUGUGGUCUCAGCAAAGAGUCCCUCCCGACUGUUUACCAAAAACACAGCACUUUGCCAACUCGUAAGAGGAAGUAUAAGGUGUGACGCCUGCCCGGUGCUCGAAGGUUAAGAGGAUGCGUCAGUCGCAAGAUGAAGCGUUGAAUUGAAGCCCGAGUAAACGGCGGCCGUAACUAUAACGGUCCUAAGGUAGCGAAAUUCCUUGUCGGUUAAAUACCGACCUGCAUGAAUGGCGUAACGAGAUGGGAGCUGUCUCAACCAGAGAUUCAGUGAAAUUGUAGUGGAGGUGAAAAUUCCUCCUACCCGCGGCAAGACGGAGAGACCCCGUGGACCUUUACUACAACUUAGCACUGCUAACGGGAAUAUCAUGCGCAGGAUAGGUGGGAGGCUUUGAAGUAAGGGCUU
RNAcentral lists this ribosomal RNA (497 nucleotides) under Helicobacter pylori. RNAcentral's name for it is "partial 23S ribosomal RNA". It matches the Rfam family "Bacterial large subunit ribosomal RNA", at positions 1665 to 2171 of the family's 2925-position model. Lineage: Bacteria; Pseudomonadati; Campylobacterota; Epsilonproteobacteria; Campylobacterales; Helicobacteraceae. The record is from RNAcentral.